This 62-nucleotide transfer RNA is filed under the name Barbatia decussata. RNAcentral describes it as "tRNA-Ala". It matches the Rfam family "tRNA". Rfam says of the family: Transfer RNA (tRNA) molecules are approximately 80 nucleotides in length. Their secondary structure includes four short double-helical elements and three loops (D, anti-codon, and T loops). Further hydrogen bonds mediate the characteristic L-shaped molecular structure. tRNAs have two regions of fundamental functional importance: the anti-codon, which is responsible for specific mRNA codon recognition, and the 3' end, to which the tRNAs corresponding amino acid is attached (by aminoacyl-tRNA synthetases). tRNAs cope with the degeneracy of the genetic code in two manners: having more than one tRNA (with a specific anti-codon) for a particular amino acid; and 'wobble' base-pairing, i.e. permitting non-standard base-pairing at the 3rd anti-codon position. The record is from RNAcentral. Lineage: Eukaryota; Metazoa; Mollusca; Bivalvia; Arcoida; Arcidae.
GGUCAAGUAGUUUAGAGAACGUUUGCUUUGCAGGUAAAAAGUGGGUGAUUGCCCUUUGACCA